This 447-nucleotide ribosomal RNA is filed under the name uncultured bacterium. RNAcentral's name for it is "bacterial SSU rRNA". It matches the Rfam family "Bacterial small subunit ribosomal RNA", at positions 329 to 792 of the family's 1533-position model. The record is from RNAcentral.
CGCCAGACUCCUACGGGAGGCAGCAGUGGGGGAUAUUGCACAAUGGGGGGAACCCUGAUGCAGCGACGCCGCGUGGGUGAAGGAGUGCUUCGGCAUGUAAAGCCCUAUCGGCAGGGAAGAAGCAAGACGGUACCUGACUAAGAAGCCCCGGCUAACUACGUGCCAGCAGCCGCGGUAAUACGUAGGGGGCAAGCGUUAUCCGGAUUUACUGGGUGUAAAGGGAGCGUAGACGGCAGGGCAAGUCUGGAGUGAAAGCCCGGGGCCCAACCCCGGGACUGCUUUGGAAACUGCCAUGCUAGAGUGCUGGAGAGGUAAGCGGAAUUCCUAGUGUAGCGGUGAAAUGCGUAGAUAUUAGGAGGAACACCAGUGGCGAAGGCGGCUUACUGGACAGUAACUGACGUUGAGGCUCGAAAGCGUGGGGAGCAAACAGGAUUAGAUACCCCAGUA